UACGUAGGGGGCAAGCGUUGUCCGGAUUUAUUGGGCGUAAAGAGCGUGUAGGCGGUCUGGUAGGUCCGUUGUGAAAACUCGAGGCUCAACCUCGAGACGCCGGUUGAAACCAUCUGACUAGAGUCCGGAAGAGGAGAGUGGAAUUCCUGGUGUAGCGGUGAAAUGCGCAGAUAUCAGGAAGAACACCCGUGGCUAAGGCGGCUCUCUAGUACGGUACUGACGCUGAGGAGCGAAAGCGUGGGGAGCGAACAGG
Molecule: ribosomal RNA, 253 nt
Filed under: uncultured bacterium
Lineage: Bacteria
Description: partial 16S ribosomal RNA
Rfam family: Bacterial small subunit ribosomal RNA
Source: RNAcentral